AAGUCGUAACAAGGUGCCUCACGGAAGCCUUGCACGCCGAGUCUGCCUUCGGGCAGGCGACACCCGCCUGUAGCUGGAAGGUUCCCCCGGGUCUCCGGGGGCAACGAUCAGCUGCUGCACGCCCGGGGCGUGCAGUCCACAGAUCAAACGUGGGUGGCCUGCGCCCGCAGGUUGAGAUAUGACCGUAGCAGCUCCGCCAGGAGUCUGGUAUGCUAGUUCCGUAGGUGAACCUGCGGAAGGAUCAUUAUUGAGAGGGGGGCCUCGCGCCCCAGGGGCUUCGUGCCCCGCACCUUUCCACCCUUUGUGUAUCUUCCACUGUUGCUUUGGCGGGCCCCGGGGCUCACCCCCCGGCGCUGGCCCCCCGCGAGGGAGGUUCGCGAGCGCCCGCCAGGGGCCCAUUCCAACCUGUUGUAUCAGUGUAGUCUGAGUUGACGAGUAAUCAAUCAAAACUUUCAACAACGGAUCUCUUGGUUCUGGCAUCGAUGAAGAACGCAGCGAAAUGCGAUAAGUAAUGUGAAUUGCAGAAUUCAGUGAAUCAUCGAAUCUUUGAACGCACAUUGCGCCCUUUGGUAUUCCGAAGGGCAUGCCUGUUCGAGCGUCAUUACACCCCUCAAGCUCUGCUUGGUAUUGGGCGUCCGCCCCCCGUUCCCGGGGGGUGCGCCCGAAAUUCAGUGGCGGUCCAGGUGGACUUCAAGCGCAGUAAACUUUGGUUCGCUUUGGAAGCUUCUGCUGCGGCCCCGCCAGCUAAGAAACCCCCCCAAUCAUUGACCUCGGAUCAGGUAGGGAUACCCGCUGAACUUAAGCAUAUCAAUAAGCGGAGGAAAAGAAACCAACAGGGAUUGCCUCAGUAACGGCGAGUGAAGCGGCAACAGCUCAAAUUUGAAAUCUGGUCCUUCCGGGGCCCGAGUUGUAAUUUGCAGAGGAUGUUUCGGGCGCGGCGAACGGUCUAAGUCCCUUGGAACGGGGCGUCAUAGAGGGUGAGAAUCCCGUAUGCGACCGGCGACCAAGCCCAUGUGAAACUCCUUCGACGAGUCGAGUUGUUUGGGAAUGCAGCUCAAAAUGGGUGGUAAAUUUCAUCUAAAGCUAAAUACCGGCCAGAGACCGAUAGCGCACAAGUAGAGUGAUCGAAAGAUGAAAAGCACUUUGGAAAGAGAGUCAAACAGUACGUGAAAUUGUUGAAAGGGAAGCGCUUGCAUCCAGACCUGCCCGCGGGCGAUCAGCCGUCCCUUCGGGGGCGGUGUACUCGCCCGCGAUCAGGCCAGCAUCGGUUCGGGCGGCCGGAUACAGGCCUUGGGAAUGUAGCUUCUUUCGGGGAGUGUUAUAGCCCUCGGUGCAAUGCGGCCAGCCCGGACCGAGGACCGCGCUUCGGCUAGGAUGCUGGCGUAAUGGUUGUAAGCGGCC
This 1401-nucleotide ribosomal RNA is filed under the name uncultured fungus. RNAcentral's name for it is "eukaryotic LSU rRNA". The stretch from base 766 to 1401 matches the Rfam family "Eukaryotic large subunit ribosomal RNA", at positions 1 to 649 of the family's 3401-position model. The record is from RNAcentral. Lineage: Eukaryota; Fungi.